RNAcentral lists this ribosomal RNA (513 nucleotides) under uncultured bacterium. Its description in RNAcentral is "bacterial SSU rRNA". It matches the Rfam family "Bacterial small subunit ribosomal RNA", at positions 95 to 606 of the family's 1533-position model. The record is from RNAcentral.
GCGGCGAACGGUCGAGUAACACGUAAGCAACCUGCCCUGCAGUGGGGGAUAACAGCGGGAAACUGCUGCUAAUACCGCAUAGGCAUAUUUCUGGGCAUCCAGGGAUGUGUAAAGGCUAGACUGCUGCAGGAGGGGCUUGCGGCCUAUUAGCUAGUCGGUGGGGUAACGGCCUACCGAGGCGACGAUGGGUAGCUGGUCUGAGAGGAUGGUCAGCCGGAUCGGGACUGAGACACGGCCCGGACUCCUACGGGGGGCAGCAAUCAGGAAUAUUGCGCAAUGGGGGAAACCCUGACGCAGCGACGCCGCGUGCGGGAUGAAGGCCUUCGGGUCGUAAACCGCUGUUGUGGGAGACGAAUGACUGUCGAUGAGGCAGUGGAGACGGUAUCUCACGAGGAAGCCCCGGCUAACUACGUGCCAGCAGCCGCGGUAAUACGUAGGGGGCGAGCGUUGUCCGAAGUUACUGGGCGUAAAGCGCGCGUAGGCGGCUCUUUAAGUGACUGGUGAAAUCCCCGG